CGCGGGCGCGUCCGCGGGGCCGGAGUCGGAGGAACGGGACCGCGCGACGGGCUCCGGGCGCUGAGGGUGGGGCUUCUUCCGAGGCUCCGGCGGCGAGGCCGCUCUCGGAAGGUCACGGAAGCGCGAGGGAGAGGCAGGCGGCCGAGCCCGGGAAAAUCCUCGCGAAAGGCCGAGUGCGCGACGGCCCUGCGGCGAGGACUGCGGCUCCCUGACCGCUGCCGCUGCGAACGCUGCCUUGAGGGGAGGAGAGCGCGGGGCCGUGUUUUCGCCGCCUCUGUAACCACUGCAUACACGAAAACUAGCUUCUGGGGCGAGGGGCGGGGCACGAUGGCUGAGACUUCACGGAUCACCUAAACCGCCCCCGGGGCCGAGGCGCAGCUGCCCGCGUCUCGCUCCUCCUGCCGGGUGCGGGGCUGCCCUGCCGGAGAGGGCCCGCGGACGCGCCGAGAACAUCCUGGAGCCAUCUAGUCUUUCCUCCGAGGCGGGGUGGGCUUAUUUGUGCGGAGUAGAAACGGAUCCCUUAAUGGGGUGAGAUUUUUCCUCGCUACAUUGUUCCCAUUUCCGCAGUUUCACUUGGCCUCGGUUUUCUUGCAGCGUAAUCACCAAAUGAAAUUAGCUGGAGAGCGUUUGAUGGCGCAGAAUCACGGUCUGAAGAUGUUUACGCUGUAUGCUGGACGCGUUUGAUGGUGUUCUCUUCAGCACAAUUAAUUUUGCAAAGUUCAGAAAUGUGCCAGAUAGAGCCCCUGGCACGCAGUCAGGACUCUGCAGACACACCUUGAGUAGGAAACCGGCUUGUUUGUUUCAUCUGUUAUUUAUGCGAUGCACCAGCACCAAGGCCAACGUCUUUUUUAAAAACCUUUGGGUACAAUUCCAAAGCAAUUUGUAAAUUGGCAAAAUGAAGCUCGUUUUCUAAAAUAACUGUUCCCUGUUGAUUACGUAAUUAAAUGAGCAACAAAACACCUGAAAGGACAUUUAUUGAAAAGUAGACUUCCAAAACAAAAAUAUGUAUUUCACAGCUAGAAAUGGUGGCUAUUAGUGUCCUAAAGGCCAGCUGCAUUCAUGUAUGUAUUUUGAACCCUAAAACUAAACGCUUCCUGUUAUCCCUAGGACCUUGUUUGGAUAACAUUUUUCUGUUAUACGUACUUGAAACCAACCCCAUUUAAGAUGUUUAUCCUUAUUCUUGAGUCCUUGAUGGUUUGGGAAAUUUAUCAUUUUUCAUAUUGCACAAUCCUGUCACUGUCUUUUCCAUUAGGCACAGUGCCUAAGAUCCACAAUAUUUUUAGAGGCCCACAAAAAAUAUUUUAAUUUCUUUUCAAAUCAUAAGGAAAAAAACUUUAGGUGUAAGAAUUUUAAUAUAUAUAAAUAUAUUUGUUUUUGUACUAAUACAAUCUUAAAAUGUAAUUUUUAUUUUUUUUAAUGGAGUAAAAGGCUCAAUGAAGGCAAAAAGACCUAGGGCCCAAGAAAAACAUGAUGUGCCCUUGUUGCCUGGGAUUGAAAAAUCCCUUUCCAUGAGAAGAAUUUAGUUUUAAGCAUGUUAUAUAAAAUGCUCAUUUCUGUGGCCUUGUUAAUAAUACAUAGAUGGAGAUUUGGAGUCGUAAUAGUUGCUAGCAUCCAUCUGAUACACAUCAUGUGCCUAUUACGUUUUUUAAUCCUUACAGCACACAUGUGAAAUAGGUACUAUUCUCACACUUACGGAGUGAUGCAAGUUUUGUGGGGUCUGCAGUUUAUGCAACUUGGGUGAUCCUCUUAAAGAAAAGGCCAAUACUGUGUAUUAGUCCAUUCUCACACUGCUAUGAAGAACUGCCCAAGGCUGGGUAAUUUUUCAAGGAGAGAGGUUUAAUGAUUCACAGUUCCACAUGGCUGGGGUGACCUUAGGAAACUUACAAUCAUGGUGGAAGGAGAAGCAAGUACCUUCUUCACAAGGAAGCAGGAAAGAGAAGGGUGAGCAAAGGAGGAACUUGCCAAACACGAAACCAUCAGAUCUCAUGAGAAUUCACUUAUUAUCAUGAGAACGACAUGGGAAAACCACCCCCAUAAUCCAGUCACUUUUCUCCCUGACACGUGGGGAUUACAAUUCAAGGUGAGGUUUGGGUAGGGACACGAAGCCUGACCAUAUCACACAGCAUGUUCAGGCAGCCCAAGUACCACCCAAUAGAAUGGAAAAUGACAGAGGGGAAGUCCAAGUGGAAACAGACCUCAAUGUCAGGUAAUUGUGACUACAAUAUAUUACUUUUGCAAAUUGCACAAAAUCACAUGACCAGGUGAAUGUAGUGCCAAGCCUCCUGCCAAGGCCUGGGAUGGAGGCCUAGAGAAAUGCGCGAAAGCUUAUGCUGUGUGAGUGUCACAGAAGACCUGCCUUCUAUGUAUACCCAUUUUACAGGUGUCUGUGCAGUGCACAAACUGUACAUGACCAUUUCUACUCUGGGGCUGUAAACAAGGGCUAAGAUUGCUACAGUGACUGAAGACUGAGGGGGACCCCCUCUGUAGGAUGCCAAGGACUGACUGGAGAAAGUCUGGCAGAACAGAAACUCUUGCACAAGUGGAGUGGAACAGCGGCUAAGGCACUCCAGCUGACUCAUCUUGACUAGAGAAGGUUACAGCUGGAGGCCCCAGAGAUUACCCACAUUCCCUCUCCAUUUGACAGCAAAGGAAGCAAUGUCCAGAGAAGAUCUGUAACUUUUUCUCAAUUACCUGGAAGGCCAGAGAUAGAAUCAGCAUUGUCUGAAGACAAGUGAGGUCAGAUGCAUAGAUUUAUACAUAGGAGUAUAGAUAACAGGUGUCAUAAACUUGGAAUUAAUUUAGAGGUGGUUAUGAUGAAUGCAUAAUAUUUUCAACUAUACAUAAAAUAUGGGAUUCUGCAUUUAUUUAAAAUAUGGGAUUCUGGGUUAAUUCUUUCUCAUGAGAGGGUGCUUCUUUCAGAAAUGAUCUAAGCACCUAUAAACAUUUUAAAAAUACACACACAUGAGAUCAUAUUUUCAUAGUGAUAUAUACAUCAUUGCUCAUAUCCCCAGUGAACAGAUGGGGGAAAGGAGGUAGAGAGAGACUAAGAUAGAGAGGGAGUCAGCACAAGAACUCACCACAGGAAUCUCCUGGUUGCCUGCCUGGGCUUCUGUCAGCUCCAUUUGGUUGAAUUUCUAUUCAGUAUAAUUACCGAGGUCUUAUACUUAAGAACAUGUUCUUUGGGUUGCCUGCUUAUCUCUAAGCUGAAGAAUUUUUUUUCUUGUUUGCUUUUUCGAUCUUCAGCUUCCAUGACCUUAAAAAAAAAAAGUACACGAAAACUAAGCCGAUCUAAAAGCAGCCUGUUUGCAACCUGAUAUGAGACUUGGAAUGCAACCAGCUAAACCUUGGUGUAGGGUUCUCUAAACACAUUCAACAUUUUUUCCAAGAGGCAAUCGGUUUAUUUCCGUUGAAAUGCUCGAUGAUGAAUUAACAGUACAUUUUCUAAACUAUUGAAAGAGCAGAGGUAAAAUGGUAGUUAGACAUGUCAGAAUGGGAAACAGAGAGCUACGGAAUUUGUCUUACUUUGAAGCUUAAGCCCCUUUGAAUAUUCCUUAUAUUUAGCCACACAUGUAUUUUUAAGGUGGAAAUUAGUUAAUGCAACAUUCUCAUAGUCCAUACUUUUUAUUUAGGUUGAUGCUUGAUGAACCAGAUAAUGUCGAAUCACUUUCUGCUUUAAAGUUUAUAAUUCUCAAUAAAAGAGAAAGUGGUGAAUUAUGUGAACCAACCCUAGAAAGUAUUUCAGCUUUGAGUUUUUUUGUUUGUUUCAAAGAACCUACUGUACAUA
Molecule: long non-coding RNA, 3784 nt
Organism: Saimiri boliviensis boliviensis (Bolivian squirrel monkey)
Lineage: Eukaryota; Metazoa; Chordata; Mammalia; Primates; Cebidae
Source: RefSeq, a predicted model, not a curated record